CUACUCUAGAAAGCAAUAAAAAUAGUCAUUUAUUGUUCUUGUACAACCGAGCAGAUCUUCAGACUGUGUAUGCUUGUUGAAUUGUGUCUAUGUCUAGGCCCUUCAAUCUCACCACUGAUUCUACGUGACCCUUAAGCGUAUGAAGUUCCCUCAAUCUGGCAAUUUCAGCUCUCCUUUUAGCUUCUUCAGCCAUCUGAUUGAGUUCAGUGAAAUGGGUUCGCUCUGUGAACAUCUUGGUGUCUGGUGGUUGUAACCCAUGCAAUGUUCUCUGCGCAUGUGCCCACUGAAGCUCACGUUGUUCCUUACCGAAAUCCUUUUGCCUUGUGAAAGCAAUCCUUUGCUCAAUCACAAGAUCCCAGGCCCUACCACUCAGAGCAUAGCGUAUAAAGAACUUGAUGAAGUCAAGUGGGAUGUAAAAGAUGAUGUUAUAAAGCCAAAUUACACCAGCCCAACCCCAACCAAUCCCUUCAAUUGCAGCAAAACUCCAAUUUGCGUAGACUGCAAUCAAAGUAGCAAUCAGCUGAGCAACCAAAAAAGCCACCACGAGUAGAAAUCCAGGACGUUCAACAUACGACCAACUUCGAGAACGUGUCACAAAAAUAAGGGCCUGACUGAUAGUGCUCACUUGCAAGUAAAUUGCUGAUGCAAGCAUUCUGAAGUCAUCAGGAGCUGUUUUCUCAAGAGUUGAUACUCCAAAUACCCUAGGGAAGAAGUCUGUCUUAUAUGCUGCCCAAAAGAAGAUGACUGUCAUCAUUGCCAGGUAACUACCAAGAACAAUGCCAGUAGUAAAAAUCUCUGCCAGCUUCCAGCUGUCUGGCAGAGGAGACGGUUUCACCCUAUCCUUGGAUAUUGUCAUAAUGGUACCAUCAUUAAGAAUAGCAAUAAUAAGCACCAUAAAAGGUGGAAAGUCAAACUUCC
RNAcentral lists this unclassified non-coding RNA (918 nucleotides) under Hevea brasiliensis (rubber tree). Lineage: Eukaryota; Viridiplantae; Streptophyta; Magnoliopsida; Malpighiales; Euphorbiaceae. The record is from RNAcentral.